Molecule: long non-coding RNA, 1096 nt
Organism: Sardina pilchardus (European sardine)
Lineage: Eukaryota; Metazoa; Chordata; Actinopteri; Clupeiformes; Clupeidae
Exons: 3
Source: RefSeq, a predicted model, not a curated record
CAUAACAAGGAAGUUUAUAAUAUUCUUUUUCUGAAAAAAUGAAACAGAAAGUAGGCUAAUAGAUCUGAUGUGCAUUAACAUCACUUUGUUGACGAACUAAAUUGCUAACCAGUAACGUGGUAAGCUGUGAAGCCUGACAACUGAACUGAAAAGCUAGAAGGUAGCCACUAAAACUUUAUUUGGAAAACCUUUCGUGAGAGACGUCAGCCUACUUUUUAAUUUCUACGUUAAGCUACAGCGUCAGAUUUACAGAAAUGACAGGGGAAACUAAUGGUGCGCCAGAGGGCAGAUCCUACCGGGAUGCAGUGGUGGCUCACAUGCCGCCUCUGCCCGCAGGAGCACCACCUGAAAACGUACAGCGGUCUAAACUGAAAGCUCGCCUGAGGAAUUUGUUGAGCAGACAUCCGGAUGGCAUGCUUCUGGCCCAGCUGAGACGGUCCUGCCCGAUCCUGUUCCAACCAGAGGUCCUGGGUUCCUAUGUCUCCACCACAGAGAUCUUGCACUCGAUGGGGGAUGUGCUACAGAUACGCGGCGUUGGAGUACAGCGCCGCGUCUAUCCUUCUUGCAGGAAAGUGGACGAGACCGAAUAGACGAUAGGCAUGAUCAAUUGGACUAAUUGCACCAACAUUUUUUAAAUCAUUCUGCCUAGGAAGAAAAAGAAUUGGGUUACCUGGCCUGGCCUGGCCUAAACAUAUGCAGUGACCAAAUAACUGGCACAGAUGUGUUAGGAUAGAUGUAGGUUUUGGCUAGGCCUACAACACCUCAGAUAUCAUGUUGAUGAUAUAACUUUACCAAAGCAUUAAAAUAAGUAAUUGUAAGAAUUCAACAUGUGGGCUCACUAGCAUAAGAGUGACUGUGAAAACAUUCCAAAUGUAAGCUCUCAAUGUAGGCUAUACAAAUAAUUAUGCACUUUUUCAACUUUCUAUGGUGUUUUUCUACAUGCAGUUAUCCUUAAUUUGGAGAAACAGAUUUGUAUCAGUAAUGCACUUUAAUAUUGUAUUUGCAUUUUGUGUUGUCAUAUAUUUAAUCUAUAUUUUUAAAUAAGACAUUUGAUAUUUUGUUACCAAUUGGCAAGGAAUAAUAAAUGAAGGAAAAA